UUCGACAACAUCCGUGAGGCCGUGGAGCGCUACCCCUUCGCCGCCAUGGACACCGAGUUCCCCGGCGUCGUUCACCGCUCCCGGAAGCACCCCGCCCACCUCUCCACCGCCGAGCGGUACGCGCUGCUCAAAGCCAACGUCGACGACCUCCACCUCAUCCAAGUCGGGCUCACCCUCUCCGACGCCGCCGGCAACCUCCCCGACCUCUGCGACGACGGCGGCGUCCGCUACAUCUGGGAGUUCAACUUCAGUGAUUUCGACCUCUACCGCGACCGCUACGCCCCCGAGUCCAUCGACCUCCUCAAGUCCAACGGGAUCGACUUCGAGAAGAACCGGGCGCGGGGAAUCGACUCCCGCCACUUCGCCGAGCUCCUAAUGUCGUCGGGACUGGUGUGCAACGACUCGGCCGUGAGCUGGGUGACGUUCCACAGCGCCUACGACUUCGCAUACCUGAUCAAGAUCCUAACUUGCCGCCGGCUGCCGGAGCAUCUGGGCGGAUUCAUGGCCUUGGUGAGGGUUUUCUUCGGGGACAAGGUGUUCGACAUGAAGCACAUGAUGAAGUACUGCCACAGCCUGUACGGCGGAUUGGAGCGGGUGGCGAGCGCCCUGGAGAUCGACCGGGCGGUGGGGCGGUGCCACCAGG
RNAcentral lists this long non-coding RNA (643 nucleotides) under Musa acuminata (dwarf banana). Its description in RNAcentral is "long non-coding RNA (MACU_LNC003250)". Lineage: Eukaryota; Viridiplantae; Streptophyta; Magnoliopsida; Zingiberales; Musaceae. The record is from RNAcentral.